RNAcentral lists this ribosomal RNA (253 nucleotides) under uncultured bacterium. RNAcentral describes it as "partial 16S ribosomal RNA". It matches the Rfam family "Bacterial small subunit ribosomal RNA", at positions 524 to 776 of the family's 1533-position model. The record is from RNAcentral.
GACGUAGGGCGCGAGCGUUGUCCGGAUUUAUUGGGCGUAAAGAGCUCGUAGGCGGCUUGUCGCGUCGUCCGUGAAAACCUGCAGCUCAACUGCAGGCUUGCGGUCGAUACGGGCAGGCUGGAGUUCGGUAGGGGAGACUGGAAUUCCUGGUGUAGCGGUGAAAUGCGCAGAUAUCAGGAGGAACACCGGUGGCGAAGGCGGGUCUCUGGACAGUUCCUGACACUGAGACACGAAGGCCAGGGGAGCAAACGGG